Drosophila innubila is the source of this 577-nucleotide long non-coding RNA. RefSeq lists it as uncharacterized. The record is from RefSeq and is a predicted model, not a curated record. NCBI's taxonomy places the organism in Eukaryota, Metazoa, Arthropoda, Insecta, Diptera, Drosophilidae. The transcript has 2 exons.
UGUGCCAUAAAUAAAGUGCAUUAAGUGGAAUGUAUAACACUAUGCAACAGCCAAAAAUUACAAGAACCAAACAUACUUUUUUGGAUAGAUUUGGGGACCCAUAUGACGGAAAACAUUUUUUUAUGUGUAGGAUGCAGUAAUGGGAUGUUUGCUUGGAUACCGAAGGCUUCAGUCAGACCCAUGCACAUACACAAAAUACACAGAGACUCUGGCGAGAUAUGCGCGCCAAUAUUUCACACUAUGGAAUAAUAAAGAAGCACUAUCUUGGAUACCUCCCAACAAUCCACUUUCACAACUGAUAUAAGGAUCACACGGAUCGGAUCCAUGAAGCAUUCAAGGCCAUUGGACGUCUUUAUGAUCAGAGCUAGCAUUCUGUUUGGUCAUUUCUGAAGUCAUUAUAAUUAAGUUAUUAUUAACUUAUAAACUUGUGAAUUUAUCGGAAUAUCUCUAAUGUAACAUUGCUGCUAACAUUAUCGCAAUGUUAGCAUCCUCUAUUUUAAUGCUGCUGUAAGCGAAAGUGUUGCAGGUGUUGUCAAAAAAUGCAUUAAAUAAGUUGUCGAUUGAAAGUGAACUUAAA